This 253-nucleotide ribosomal RNA is filed under the name uncultured bacterium. RNAcentral describes it as "partial 16S ribosomal RNA". It matches the Rfam family "Bacterial small subunit ribosomal RNA", at positions 524 to 776 of the family's 1533-position model. The record is from RNAcentral.
UACGUAGGGUGCAAGCAUUGUUCGGAAUCACUGGGCGUAAAGGGCGCGUAGGCGGGCUCGUAAGUCGAUUGUGAAAUCCCCAGGCUUAACCUGGGAACUGCAGUCGAAACUGCAAGUCUUGAAUGCUCGAGAGGAUGGCGGAAUUCCUGGUGUAGUGGUGAAAUACGUAGAUAUCAGGAAGAACACCUGAGGCGAAGGCGGCUAUCUGGUGAUGCAUUGACGCUAAGGCGCGAAAGCGUGGGGAUCAAACAGG